Molecule: ribosomal RNA, 254 nt
Filed under: uncultured bacterium
Lineage: Bacteria
Description: partial 16S ribosomal RNA
Rfam family: Bacterial small subunit ribosomal RNA
Source: RNAcentral
UACGUAGGGUGCGAGCGUUUAAUCGGAAUUACUGGGCGUAAAGCGUGCGCAGGCGGCGCGUUUAAGACAGGUGUGAAAGCCCCGAGCUUAACUUGGGAAUUGCGCUUGUGACUGGCGUGCUGGAGUGUGGCAGAGGGAGGUGGAAUUCCACGUGUAGCAGUGAAAUGCGUAGAGAUGUGGAGGAACACCGAUGGCGAAGGCAGCCUCCUGGGCAGCACUGACGCUCAUGCACGAAAGCGUGGGGAGCAAACAGG